UAAGCCUUGCUGGAGAAGCAGGGCACAUGCUUAGUUUAGUAUUAUGUAAUUUUCGAGCAUGUGCCCUGCUUCUCCAACAUGGAUUC
Molecule: microRNA precursor, 86 nt
Filed under: Lupinus angustifolius (narrow-leaved blue lupine)
Lineage: Eukaryota; Viridiplantae; Streptophyta; Magnoliopsida; Fabales; Fabaceae
Description: pre miRNA MIR164
Rfam family: MIR164 microRNA precursor family
Source: RNAcentral